UAGUUGCGAGUUCUUGAAGUUCAUUGUUCAUGGCAUCAAUCCAUUGUUGGGAUUUGAUGGCUUGUUUAUAGGUUUGUGGUUCAAUAGCAUUGGUAAUUGAAAGUGUGUAAUGAAGAUGAGAUGGUGAUAAUUUAUGAUAAGAUAAUACAGAAUGCAAAGGAUAUAGUGAGUUAGUGGUAGAUGAGGAAGGUGGAAGUUUAGCAUUACAAUGAAAGUCUUUGAGGUAGCCAGGGGCUUUGGUGGUUCUAGUUGAUCUUCUUAGGUUGGUGGUGUCAAAAGAUGGAUGUGGAUUGGGUGGAGGAACAAUGGAGGAUGAAGAAUCACAUGGCAAGUUUAGGGAUGGAGUUGAUGGAGUGGAGAUAGGUUGUAUUGAUGUUGGUUGGAUAUGAGGUUGUGAUCUGUCAUACUUUGUAGAGUCAUCAGGGUCAUCAAAUAGAAAAAUGGAAUAAUCUUGAUCUACAAAGUCAAUACUAAGAGAAGAAUCAGUAAUUUCAGCAUAGGGAAAAGUAGAUUCAUAAAAAACAGCAUUGCGAGGAACGAAUAUUUCUCUAGUAGAGAGGUCAAAAACAACAUAACCUUUGAUGCCAACUUUGAAACCUAGGAAGAUACAUUUUUUUAGCUCGUGGAUCAAGUUUGGUGCGAUGUUGUUCUAAGGUAGAAACAUAGCAUUAUGAACCGAAAACUUUGAGGUCAAGAAAAGUAGGAGGUUUAUUAUAAAGUAAUUCAAAGGGAGACUUAUUUUGCAGAAUAGGACUAGGCAAUCUAUUGAUCAGAUAAACGGCAUGAAGAACAGCAUAGGACCAAAAACAUUUGGGAAGUUUGNGUGCUUGAAGUUCAUUGUUCAUGGCAUCAAUCCAUUGUUGGGAUUUGAUGGCUUGUUUAUAGGUUUGUGGUUCAAUAGCAUUGGUAAUUGAAAGUGUGUAAUGAAGAUGAGAUGGUGAUAAUUUGUGUCUUUCAUCAUUGGAGUGGUAAAAGGUUUGGCUGCAAGCAUCCCUGUAUCAGCAAGAAUAUCUAAUGCAUAUUUGCACUGGCUUAAGUGAAUUCCUUUGUUGGUGCGAGAAACUUCAAGGCCAAGAAAAUAUUUGAGAUUACCUAAAUCUUUGAUGCGGAAAGUAGAAUGAAGAAAGCUUUUAACGUGAUUUAUUUCUGUUGAUGCAUUUCCGGUGAGGACAAUGUCGUCUACGUAUACUCGGAGAGCAGUGAAAGUGUUGAGAGAUGACUUGAUGAAUAAUGAGUGAUCAUAUUCUAAAUGAUGAUAGUCGAGACUAAUGAGAGCGAAAGACAGUUUACUGAACCAUUGCCUACUAGCUUGACGAAGACCGUAAAGGGAUUUGUUGAGACGACACACUUGAUUAGGAGAGGUAGGAAUGAUGCCGGGUGGCAACUCCAUGUACACUUCUUCAUGUAAAUCACCAUGAAGGAAUGCGUUGUCCACAUCCAAUUGUUGAAUGAUCCAUUUUUCACUUGAUGCAAUAGAAAGUAAAAGACGAAUAGUAGUUAGUUUAGCAACAGGAGAAAAAGUAUCAAGAAAAUCUACCCCUUCUUGUUGAGUGUAGCCUUUGGCUACAAGACGGGCUUUGUAGCGUUCUAGAGUGCCAUCAGCUUUGUGUUUAAUACGGUACACCCAUCUGCAACCAAUAGCAACCUUGUCUUUGGGUAAGGUGGUGAGGGACCAAGUAUUGUUAGUUGCGAGUGCUUGAAGUUCAUUGUUCAUGGCAUCAAUCCAUUGUUGGGAUUUGAUGGCUUGUUUAUAGGUUUGUGGUUCAAUAGCAUUGGUAAUUGAAAGUGUGUAAUGAAGAUGAGAUGGUGAUAAUUUGUGAUAAGAUAAUACUGAAUGCAAAGGAAAUAGUGAGUUAGUGGUAGAUGAGGAAGGUGGAAGUUUAACAUUACAAUGAAAGUCUUUGAGGUAGCCAGGGGCUUUGGUGGUUCUAGUUGAUCUUCUUAGGUUGGUGGUGUCAAAAGAUGGAUGUGGAUUGGGUGGAGGAACAAUGGAGGAUGAAGAAUCACAUGGCAAGUUUGGGGAUG
RNAcentral lists this long non-coding RNA (2025 nucleotides) under Lathyrus oleraceus (garden pea). Its description in RNAcentral is "Pisum sativum (pea) long non-coding RNA (PSAT_LNC009227)". The record is from RNAcentral. Lineage: Eukaryota; Viridiplantae; Streptophyta; Magnoliopsida; Fabales; Fabaceae.